This 86-nucleotide transfer RNA is filed under the name Candidatus Altimarinota bacterium. Its description in RNAcentral is "tRNA-Tyr". It matches the Rfam family "tRNA". Rfam says of the family: Transfer RNA (tRNA) molecules are approximately 80 nucleotides in length. Their secondary structure includes four short double-helical elements and three loops (D, anti-codon, and T loops). Further hydrogen bonds mediate the characteristic L-shaped molecular structure. tRNAs have two regions of fundamental functional importance: the anti-codon, which is responsible for specific mRNA codon recognition, and the 3' end, to which the tRNAs corresponding amino acid is attached (by aminoacyl-tRNA synthetases). tRNAs cope with the degeneracy of the genetic code in two manners: having more than one tRNA (with a specific anti-codon) for a particular amino acid; and 'wobble' base-pairing, i.e. permitting non-standard base-pairing at the 3rd anti-codon position. The record is from RNAcentral. Lineage: Bacteria; Candidatus Altimarinota.
GGGCAGGUACCAGAGUGGUCAAAUGGGGCAGACUGUAAAUCUGCUGGUUUACGCCUUCGGGGGUUCGAAUCCCUCCCUGCCCACCA